UUAAUCCUAUUUUAACCAGGUUUUGCUAGGUCAGGAGGCUAAAAGAUGGAAACAGAAACAUCACAAUAAAAUACAUGUGACCUAAAUGGAAGUUCCAAAGCCAGAUGUCACUGACGAAUCAUCCCUGUAUGGAGAAUGAAGUCAGGAAUGCUGGAAUAAAGAUUGUGAGCCCUGAUGAAGUAAACAGGGUUUUGUAACCAACAGUGCCUUGAAUUAUCUUUCCAAGAAGGGUUUUCCUCAGAUGACAGAAGUAUCCUGCAUAUAAUCAUUAGACUGUGGUCCCAAAGGAACCUCCAAAAAGACAUCAACAGUGACCCAGGAGAUUAGCUGCCAGCGACAACCAUCCAAUGGCAACAGAUUGUUCACCUGCUAAUUUGUCUUGUGUUGAAUAAAUUCUGGGCAUAUAAAGGAGAUUCAUGAAGCCUACAGCUUCAGAAUCUUGAAAAUAAAAAGGGAGGAAUGUGAGGGCUAGAAAAAGCUGUGUUUUGCCUUUGGCAUAACUGUAGCCAUUUUGCUUCUGUAAUACUGCUAAAAGCUGAUUAGGGAAUAAAUGAUAGUAAGAAAUUGCAAGCAAAUCUCUUUUUGGGUGUUGUAAGCAUUUCUGAGUUCCAGACAGGACAGGAAGCUAACACUUGAGAAAUGCUUAAGCUUAGAAACCGCAAGCGGAAAGACAGGAAGCCACCUCUUGAUAUAUGUGAUAACAUGUCUGGAGAAACAACUUAUUUGAAUAUAGCCAAUAGCAUUGAUUCUACAGAAAAGGGGAACUGAGGGAGGGGGCUUGUUGCUUGUCACUGCUUGUUAAGGUAUAAAAUUGAUUGUAACUGUUCCUGCUGUGUGCCAUUUCUCUCUUGCAUUGAAAUGGACACCCUUUACUCAGCUGAAUAAAGAUACUUAAUUCUC
Molecule: long non-coding RNA, 900 nt
Organism: Hemicordylus capensis (graceful crag lizard)
Lineage: Eukaryota; Metazoa; Chordata; Lepidosauria; Squamata; Cordylidae
Exons: 2
Source: RefSeq, a predicted model, not a curated record